This 310-nucleotide ribosomal RNA is filed under the name uncultured Ralstonia sp. Its description in RNAcentral is "bacterial SSU rRNA". It matches the Rfam family "Bacterial small subunit ribosomal RNA", at positions 30 to 334 of the family's 1533-position model. Lineage: Bacteria; Pseudomonadati; Pseudomonadota; Betaproteobacteria; Burkholderiales; Burkholderiaceae. The record is from RNAcentral.
AUUGAACGCUGGCGGCAUGCCUUACACAUGCAAGUCGAACGGCAGCAUGAUCUAGCUUGCUAGAUUGAUGGCGAGUGGCGAACGGGUGAGUAAUACAUCGGAACGUGCCCUGUAGGUGGGGGAUAACUAGUCGAAAGAUUAGCUAAUACCGCAUACGACCUGAGGGUGAAAGUGGGGGACCGCAAGGCCUCAUGCUAUAGGAGCGGCCGAUGUCUGAUUAGCUAGUUGGUGAGGUAAGGCUCACCAAGGCGACGAUCAGUAGCUGGUCUGAGAGGACGAUCAGCCACACUGGGACUGAGACACGGCCCAG